This 259-nucleotide long non-coding RNA is filed under the name Homo sapiens (human). RNAcentral's name for it is "HSALNT0129171". The record is from RNAcentral. Lineage: Eukaryota; Metazoa; Chordata; Mammalia; Primates; Hominidae.
AGCGGCCACCACCAUCUUGGGAGCUCUAAGAACAAAGACCAUCUGCUCCCCAAGUGAUGAUAACACAUGUCAAGGUCAUGACCACUGGGUGAGGGUAACCAACAAGGCUGCAUCUAACAGACUCCUGAAAAAUUAAGCACCUGAUCCUGCGACAUUCUGGAUCACCAUGGCCAUGCAUCUCGGACAGACAAUAGCAUCACCUCCCAGUUCUCAGAAGGAAACUCUGGGAAUGAACACUGGGCUCAAAACCAAGGCUUUU